GCUCCGCCGCAGUCUCUGCUCCCGCCGCUUCCUCCCCGCCGCCCCUCCCUGCCAGCCUGGGCGAACGCGGCCAGGCCCUGGGGACCAAGUCUCCGCGCUGCCGAAGACGGGGCGCGAGUCGCGCCGCAGCCGAAGCGGGGCUGGGCCCCGCCGCCGCCUUUCUGCUGGCCAUGCAUUCUUCUAGCUGCUCCGGCUCCUGCAGCCCGGGCCGGGGCCCGGCCAGCCCGAGGCAGCCGCGAGGGGAGUAGGGCGCCCGCGCGCGGGCUCGUGCAGCGACUCGCGCCUCCUCGGCCGCCGCCGCGUCCAUGACCGCGACCCCUUGGCCGGGGACACCCGCCGCCGCCGCGCAGUACCGCGUCCCGGGCUGCCGGCUCACCGUCCACGCCCGCCGAGAAAGCCUGGACGGACUCCAAUGUGAGAAUGGCUGUGACUUUGGAAGAAGCUCCCUGGCUGGGCUGGAUCUUGGUGAAAGCCUUGAUGAGGUUUGCCUUCAUGGUUGCCAACAACCUGGUGGCUCUUCCAUCCUACAUCUGCUAUGUAAUCAUACUUCAGCCUCUUCGAGUCCUGGACAGUAAGCGGUUCUGGUACAUUGAAGGAAUCAUGUAUAAAUGGCUUUUAGGAAUGGUGGCUUCUUGGGGAUGGUAUGCUGGAUAUACAGUAGUAUCCAGACUAUUUUGAUUCUUGGAUUACUUACCAGUGCAGGAAGUUAAGACAUCCAUUAUAUUUCCACUUGGCUCGAGUUAAGAAGACAUCACCAAAGUGAAUGGAAGAAUUGUUACCUAUGGCACAUCAGUGAGGAAUAUGAUUGAAGUGUGACAUUAAUACUACUUUUCUCGAAUUUUGGUCUGUGGGGCACCUUGAAAACUUUUAAGGAUCACCAGUGUUCCCCAAACUUUGCUAAAUAUUAUUAAAACCAAUUUCUGUGUUUACCAUUCCUGAUCUAAAAAUCAAUGUUUACUGAGUAUUUGCCUAUGUUUCAAGAGUUUUCAGUUUGCAAACUAGUGGCCAUAUUCAGUAGCUGAUGUGUUUUAACUUGGCCUUAGCAGUAUUUUUAAAGUUUUUUUAAUUAAUUGCCAACAUUUCAAAAUUAGAGAGAUUUCAUAAAACAUGAUAAAAAUCAAGAUGUCCGGCUACUCUUGAGAAAUUAGAAAUCUGGCAACGCUGAGUCUUUAUUCCUGCUCGACGGCAAUUUGCUGGAGCUGAGUACUGACGACCCCUUAUAGAUGGGGUCUGUGCUCUCCAUCCACUCCUUUCUUGUCUUACUUUGGGCUGCUUUGCUUAUUUAUAUUAUCUACCUGGACCCUAUAGGCCCCUGGAUGAUGUGUUAAUUUAAGAAAUUCAAAUUGCAAUUACUAGUCUGUUUCUGUUAGGCAUGUAAUAGUUUUACAUUUAUACACAUUAGGAAUGUUUAUAAACUAAUGAAUUCUACCAUUAGACUAAAAGAUGGUUAGUGACCUGAACUGCUGAUUUCAUGAAGCAGAGGCAUGUGGUAGGAACUGAAAAAUGAAGUGCCAUUAGCAAGUGAGAACUGUGGUCACAAGGUUUUUCCAAGUUUCAUGUGUACCGUAUUACUAACCAGGUGAAAUGUUUCCUGCUGUGUGUGUACUCAUUGGUUACUGAAUGUCCCAAUUCUACUUAUGAAUAUAAUUAUGUAGUGUCUAGAUUAUUAAGAUGAGUUGCUUCUCUUUGAUAUUUCAAAUUUUAAAAUAUGAAAAAUAAAACAAGCCUAGUUGAUUUCUGUUUAUUAUUUUAAAUUAUAGUACAAUUAAGUAUAUUUGUAUUUUUAUUGAGAUAUAAUUCACAUACCAUAAAAUUCACCCUUUUAAAGUAUACAAUUCAAUAUUUUUUAGUGUGUUUACAAGAUUGUACCAUUAUCACCACUAUCUAAUCUAGAAAAUUUUUAUUACCCCAAAAAGAAAACCCUGAACCCAUUAGCAGUCACUCCCUACUCCCCUCUUCCUAACCCCCAAACCACUAAUGUGCAUUCUGUCUCUAUAGAUUUGCCUAUAAUGGACAUUUCAUAUAAAUGGAAUCAUAUAGUAUGUGACCUUUUGUAUCUGGCUUUUACUCAGUAACGAGUGUUCAGGGUUCACCCAUGUUGUAGUAUGUAUCAGUACUCCAUUUCUUUUUAUGCCAAGUAAUAUUCCAUUUAUGGGUAAACCACAUUUUGUUUAUCUAUUGAUGAAUAGAUACCAAUAUCCAUUGAUAAUUAUUGAUCAACAAAUAAACUCAUCAAUUUCUAUUCAUAAACAAAUAUUGAUGGACAAAUAUUAAUGGACUUUUUGGCUAUCAUGAAUAAUGCUGCUAUGAGAUUCAUGUACAAGUUUUUGUGUGAACAUAUGUUUUCAGUUCACUUGGGUAUAUAUAUAUAUAUACCUAGGAACGGAAUUUCUGGAUCAUCUUGCAGCUCUAUGUUUAACUUUUUGAGGAACAACUAAAACUAUUUUGCAUAGCUGCUGCAUCAUUUUACAUUUCUACCAGUAUGAGGGUUCCAGUUUAUCCACAUC
Molecule: long non-coding RNA, 2507 nt
Organism: Choloepus didactylus (southern two-toed sloth)
Lineage: Eukaryota; Metazoa; Chordata; Mammalia; Pilosa; Megalonychidae
Exons: 4
Source: RefSeq, a predicted model, not a curated record